RNAcentral lists this unclassified non-coding RNA (327 nucleotides) under soil metagenome. Its description in RNAcentral is "partial contains 5.8S ribosomal RNA, internal transcribed spacer 2, and large subunit ribosomal RNA". The stretch from base 1 to 120 matches the Rfam family "5.8S ribosomal RNA", at positions 35 to 154 of the family's 154-position model. The record is from RNAcentral.
GAUGAAGAACGCAGCAAAAUGCGAUAAGUAAUGUGAAUUGCAGAAUUCAGUGAAUCAUCGAAUCUUUGAACGCACAUUGCGCCCCUUGGUAUUCCGGGGGGCAUGCCUGUUCGAGCGUCAUUAUAACCCCUCAAGCUCAGCUUGGUGUUGGGGCCUGCCGACUGGCAGCCCUUAAAAUCAGUGGCGGCGCCAUCUGGCUCUAAGCGUAGUAAUUUCUCUCGCUAUAGAGUCCCGGUGGAUGCUUGCCAGCAACCCCCAACUUUCUAUGGUUGACCUCGGAUCAGGUAGGGAUACCCGCUGAACUUAAGCAUAUCAAUAAGCGGAGGA